Molecule: ribosomal RNA, 497 nt
Filed under: uncultured bacterium
Lineage: Bacteria
Description: partial 16S ribosomal RNA
Rfam family: Bacterial small subunit ribosomal RNA
Source: RNAcentral
ACUCAAAGGAAUUGACGGGGGCCCGCACAAGCGGCGGAGCAUGUGGCUUAAUUCGACGCAACGCGAAGAACCUUACCAAGGCUUGACAUACACCGGAAACUGCCAGAGAUGGUGGCCCCGCAAGGUCGGUGUACAGGUGGUGCAUGGUUGUCGUCAGCUCGUGUCGUGAGAUGUUGGGUUAAGUCCCGCAACGAGCGCAACCCUCGUCCUAUGUUGCCAGCGAGUAAUGUCGGGGACUCAUAGGAGACUGCCGGGGUCAACUCGGAGGAAGGUGGGGAUGACGUCAAAUCAUCAUGCCCCUUAUGUCUUGGGCUGCACACAUGCUACAAUGGCCGGUACAAAGGGCUGCAAUACCGCGAGGUGGAGCUAAUCCCAAAAAGCCGGUCUCAGUUCGGAUUGGGGUCUGCAACUCGACCCCAUGAAGUCGGAGUCGCUAGUAAUCGCAGAUCAGCAACGCUGCGGUGAAUACGUUCCCGGGCCUUGUACACACCGCCCGU